AUGAAUUAUGAAACAUAGAAUCAGAUAUAGAAUGGGUGUAAGUGGAUAGAUACUAGGGACAUUAUAGUGUAGAUCUUUGAUGAUUGUAGUGGGAGAAAUAUUUAAAAAUUUUGAUUAAACAUUGAGAUUAUGUAUAAAAGGAUCGCAAGAGAUUAUGACAUAUGGAGUUUGAAAUAUAAUGGAUAAUCUAUAGAUCAUGAUAUGAUUAGUUAGAUCUUGAUCGAA
Molecule: long non-coding RNA, 225 nt
Filed under: Elaeis guineensis (African oil palm)
Lineage: Eukaryota; Viridiplantae; Streptophyta; Magnoliopsida; Arecales; Arecaceae
Description: long non-coding RNA (EGUI_LNC015366)
Source: RNAcentral